Long non-coding RNA from Macrobrachium nipponense, 609 nucleotides. RefSeq lists it as uncharacterized. The record is from RefSeq and is a predicted model, not a curated record. Lineage: Eukaryota; Metazoa; Arthropoda; Malacostraca; Decapoda; Palaemonidae. The transcript is spliced from 4 exons.
UCCUGACAUGUAUUGGACGUCCUGAUACGGGAUCCGGCAAUCGCGGUAGUAUUGUUAUUUAAUCGGUGAAAGUGACUUUUUUUCCCGUUUUUAGUAGAGCGUAAACGUUUUAUGAAAUAUUUUGACGACACAUGGAUUAUUUGAAUACAGGUUCGUUUAAGAAGACAACGGUGAACCAGAAUGUUCACGGAUGGAGCCGUCACAAGAACCUUUGCAUGCAUGGAGUAUCCUGAAACCCCUGGUCUCCCCCCGUGGAUUUAUCGUCUCCAUCAAUCAGCGUUCAUCUUCACAAGGUGCGUUUUUGUUUCAACACCCUCUCUGGCCGAAGAAUCUUCAGGUGCUUACAAACCUUGACCUGAUUUUAAAACAAGGACCAUUAAACGAGAAAGUAAAGAUGGGAAAACGGACGACAAUAUUUUAUCAGAAGCAAGAGCCUGUGCUGGGGCAGGUUUAGCAUAACAGAAUACCAAUAUGCAAGUCUAGUGCCUGCCUAAUCCACACCUUGGGACAGUAUAUAAAAGGUAAAAGGCGUGUUUUCCCUUCGUGCCCAGCCCGGUUUUAUGCCCAUAAACUUUUUAUGACUAAGCCUGGAAGUGGAGUUCUCCUUUA